This is an RNA transcript of Camponotus floridanus (Florida carpenter ant), 943 nucleotides long. It is a transcript of the gene named type-1 angiotensin II receptor-associated protein, with no coding region annotated. The transcript is spliced from 6 exons. The record is from RefSeq and is a predicted model, not a curated record. NCBI's taxonomy places the organism in Eukaryota, Metazoa, Arthropoda, Insecta, Hymenoptera, Formicidae.
UAUUUAUGAUAGUUUGAUAGGAGAAUGUCAGAUGGCAAUACUUGCAAGAGGGCUGCGCACAGAGAUGAUGUACGCAGUAUAUAUAAAUAUUUUAUAUCGUUAUCGAAUUAAAGUUUUGUAGGCGGAAAAAUAGAUUAGAUAGUGUUUUAUACAAUUAGACAGUGCUUCACAUAUUAUAGUCGGAAAGAUAUAUUUUUUAAUCGCGUUAAUUCGCCAUUACACUUUAUUGUUCUAUAGUUAUAGAUACGCGCAACGAAAAUGCCUAAUAUAACCAAUUUAUCCCAUUUUCCUUUAAAGGUUAUAUUUGCAAUACAUUUGAUACUUGUAACAUGGAGUAUUCAAGGAAGUUGGUGUCCACAAUCUGUGCUGUUUUAUAAUUCGUUAUUCUUUGUUUGUAUAUUAUGGGCUAUUCAUAGUAUCGAGUCAGAUGAACCACUUCAAUUUGCACUUUUUAUAAAUGUGCUCUCUAUAUUUCUCGAUGUGAUCACUUUAUCAGUCUACUUCCCUACAGGCUACCAUGAUGCAGCUAAUAAAUUUAGCGCAGCUCUUAUGAUUAUAAAUUUGAUUGCCCGUCCUAUCUCGAGUAUAUAUCUGCUGCGAAUAGGCCAAGGGAGAAACGGCAGCUUAGCCACAGUAUUUGCACCGAGUCCUGCGAUGGGUCAGUAAAUCACUGGGUAGACAUCUACGUUUUUUGUAAUGCAUCAGUGCUUCGUCAAGAUCUGAUUUUAAGUUAUGGCCGGCAAGAUUAUGAGGACAUAUCACAUCCUAUUCCACAAAAUUCCGAUUUUGAUGGAGUUUAAGAUUGAAUAAAAAUUGCUCUAAAUACAGUAUAUACAUGUUUGUAACAUAAUAUGUUUUAGAUAAUGUUGGCAUUAUUUAUCAAUGCUGUUAAUACGUAACUUACGAUAUAAGAUCAAAGAUUAUAUAUACUUGUUUAUUUAUU